RNAcentral lists this transfer RNA (69 nucleotides) under Ictidomys tridecemlineatus (thirteen-lined ground squirrel). RNAcentral describes it as "Spermophilus tridecemlineatus (thirteen-lined ground squirrel) tRNA". It matches the Rfam family "tRNA". Rfam says of the family: Transfer RNA (tRNA) molecules are approximately 80 nucleotides in length. Their secondary structure includes four short double-helical elements and three loops (D, anti-codon, and T loops). Lineage: Eukaryota; Metazoa; Chordata; Mammalia; Rodentia; Sciuridae. The record is from Rfam by way of RNAcentral.
GGAGUUGUGGCUCAGUGGUAGAGCACUUGCUUGGCAUGCUUGAGGCCCUAGGUUCGAUCCUUAGCACCA